AUUGAACGCUGGCGGCAUGCUUUACACAUGCAAGUCGAACGGUAACAGGCCGCAAGGUGCUGACGAGUGGCGAACGGGUGAGUAAUGCAUCGGAACGUGCCCAGUCGUGGGGGAUAACUACUCGAAAGAGUAGCUAAUACCGCAUACGAUCUAUGGAUGAAAGCGGGGGACCGUAAGGCCUCGCGCGAUUGGAGCGGCCGAUGUCAGAUUAGGUAGUUGGAGGGGUAAAGGCUCACCAAGCCAACGAUCUGUAGCUGGUCUGAGAGGACGACCAGCCACACUGGGACUGAGACACGGCCCAGACUCCUACGGGAGGCAGCAGUGGGGAAUUUUGGACAAUGGGCGCAAGCCUGAUCCAGCAAUGCCGCGUGCAGGAAGAAGGCCUUCGGGUUGUAAACUGCUUUUGUACGGAACGAAACGGCUCUGGUUAAUACCCGGGGCUAAUGACGGUACCGUAAGAAUAAGCACCGGCUAACUACGUG
Molecule: ribosomal RNA, 482 nt
Filed under: uncultured bacterium
Lineage: Bacteria
Description: partial 16S ribosomal RNA
Rfam family: Bacterial small subunit ribosomal RNA
Source: RNAcentral